UGAGGAAUAUUGGUCAAUGGUCGGGAGACUGAACCAGCCAAGCCGCGUGAGGGAUGAAGGUACAGAGUAUCGUAAACCUCUUUUGUCAGGGAACAAAAGGCGCCACGUGUGGCGCUCCGAGUGUACCUGAAGAAAAGCAUCGGCUAACUCCGUGCCAGCAGCCGCGGUAAUACGGAGGAUGCGAGCGUUAUCCGGAUUUAUUGGGUUUAAAGGGUGCGUAGGCGGCGAGUUAAGUCAGCGGUAAAAUGCCCGGGGCUCAACCCCAGGCCCGCCGUUGAAACUGGCUUGCUUGAGUUGGAGAGAAGUAGGCUGAAUGCGCGGUGUAGCGGUGAAAUGCUUAGAUAUCGCGCAGAACUCCGAUUGCGAAGGCAGCCUACCGGCUCCACACUGACGCUGAGGCACGAAAGCGUGGGUAUCGAACAGGAUUAGAUACC
This 434-nucleotide ribosomal RNA is filed under the name uncultured bacterium. RNAcentral's name for it is "bacterial SSU rRNA". It matches the Rfam family "Bacterial small subunit ribosomal RNA", at positions 355 to 786 of the family's 1533-position model. The record is from RNAcentral.